GUGGGGAAUAUUGGACAAUGGGCGAAAGCCUGAUCCAGCCAUGCCGCGUGUGUGAAGAAGGUCUUCGGAUUGUAAAGCACUUUAAGUUGGGAGGAAGGGCAGUAAGUUAAUACCUUGCUGUUUUGACGUUACCGACAGAAUAAGCACCGGCUAACUUCGUGCCAGCAGCAGCGGUAAUACGAAGGGUGCAAGCGUUAAUCGGAAUUACUGGGCGUAAAGCGCGCGUAGGUGGUUUUGUAAGGUGGAGGUGAAAUCCCCGGGCUCAACCUGGGAACUGCCUCCAAAACUGCAUGACUAGAGUACGGUAGAGGGUAGUGGAAUUUCCUGUGGAGCGGUGAAAUGCGUAGAUAUAGGAAGGAACACCAGUGGCGAAGGCGACUACCUGGACUGAUACUGACACUGAGGUGCGAAAGCGUGUGGAGCAAACAGGAUUAGAUACCCUUGUAGUCC
RNAcentral lists this ribosomal RNA (450 nucleotides) under uncultured bacterium. Its description in RNAcentral is "partial 16S ribosomal RNA". It matches the Rfam family "Bacterial small subunit ribosomal RNA", at positions 354 to 796 of the family's 1533-position model. The record is from RNAcentral.